This 486-nucleotide ribosomal RNA is filed under the name uncultured bacterium. Its description in RNAcentral is "partial 16S ribosomal RNA". It matches the Rfam family "Bacterial small subunit ribosomal RNA", at positions 30 to 507 of the family's 1533-position model. The record is from RNAcentral.
AUUGAACGCUGGCGGCAUGCCUUACACAUGCAAGUCGAACGGCAGCACGGGUGCUUGCACCUGGUGGCGAGUGGCGAACGGGUGAGUAAUACAUCGGAACAUGUCCUGUAGUGGGGGAUAGCCCGGCGAAAGCCGGAUUAAUACCGCAUACGAUCUACGGAUGAAAGCGGGGGCCCUUCGGGCCUCGCGCUAUAGGGUUGGCCGAUGGCUGAUUAGCUAGUUGGUGGGGUAAAGGCCUACCAAGGCGACGAUCAGUAGCUGGUCUGAGAGGACGACCAGCCACACUGGGACUGAGACACGGCUCAGACUCCUACGGGAGGCAGCAGUGGGGAAUUUUGGACAAUGGGCGAAAGCCUGAUCCAGCAAUGCCGCGUGUGUGAAGAAGGCCUUCGGGUUGUAAAGCACUUUUGUCCGGAAAGAAAUCCUUGGCCCUAAUACGGUCGGGGGAUGACGGUACCGGAAGAAUAAGCACCGGCUAACUACGUG